This 430-nucleotide unclassified non-coding RNA is filed under the name soil metagenome. RNAcentral describes it as "partial contains 5.8S ribosomal RNA, internal transcribed spacer 2, and large subunit ribosomal RNA". The stretch from base 1 to 120 matches the Rfam family "5.8S ribosomal RNA", at positions 35 to 154 of the family's 154-position model. The record is from RNAcentral.
GAUGAAGAACGCAGCGAAAUGCGAUACGUAAUGUGAAUUGCAGAAUUCAGUGAAUCAUCGAAUCUUUGAACGCAUAUUGCGCUCUCUGGUAUUCCGGAGAGCAUGCUUGUUUGAGUAUCAGUAAACACCUCAACUCCCUUUUCUUUUUUGAAAUUGGAGCUGGACUUGAGUGAUCCCAACGCUUUCUUCCAAGAAAGUGGCGGGUUGCUUGAAAUGCAGGUGCAGCUGAACUUUUCUCUGAGCUAUAAGCAUAUCUAUUUAGUCUGCCUAAAAAACAGAUUAUUACCUUUGCUGCAGCUAACAUAAAGGAGACUAGUUCUUGUGCUGACUGAUGCAGGAUUCACAGAGACAGCUUCGGCUGACUUUGUAAACUCGAUCUCGAAUCAAGUAAGACUACCCGCUGAACUUAAGCAUAUCAAUAAGCGGAGGA